UCUUCUUUCACAAUCCAUUGUUCAGGCACAUCCGAUCAUUUAAAACAACAUCUUGAACAUCCUAUGAGUAAAUCGACGAUAACUGCAUUCCUUCCGUAUUAGAUGUUUAUUUUAUGUGUUCCUUUUAUUGUUUUGUGUAUAUUGCUCUUUGGUUUCAUAUGAAAAUCAUCGAUAAGGAGUGCUCCAAUUGGUGAUUCAUUGCAUUUAAGACCCAAAAAGGUAUCAAAAAGGAUCUGAGAGAUUAAAGAUGUUGGUAAGCGGAUUGGUGAAGGAAUUUGAAGGCGGUUGGAAAGGCUGCAUGUCGAAGGAGAAUGAGGAUUCUUUUGGGAUAAAAGCAAGGAACUUGAGUUGGACUGGGACUUUUGUGUUGAAGAUGUGGGAGAAGAUGACAAUGGUACAUCCCAGUUUUUUUACUCAUCUAGCGGAGUUGGGUUAUUUUUUUUAUCCCAUAGUGGCAGAACC
This is a long non-coding RNA of Helianthus annuus (common sunflower), 462 nucleotides long. RefSeq lists it as uncharacterized. The record is from RefSeq and is a predicted model, not a curated record. The transcript has 3 exons. NCBI's taxonomy places the organism in Eukaryota, Viridiplantae, Streptophyta, Magnoliopsida, Asterales, Asteraceae.